CCCCGCUGGCGGAAUUGGUAGACGCACUUGACUUAGGAUCAAGCGCCUUACGGUGUGUCGGUUCGAGUCCGACGUGGGGCAA
This 82-nucleotide transfer RNA is filed under the name Trebouxia lynnae. Its description in RNAcentral is "Trebouxia sp. TR9 tRNA-Leu". It matches the Rfam family "tRNA". From Rfam's summary of the family: Transfer RNA (tRNA) molecules are approximately 80 nucleotides in length. Lineage: Eukaryota; Viridiplantae; Chlorophyta; Trebouxiophyceae; Trebouxiales; Trebouxiaceae. The record is from RNAcentral.